UGGGUCUGGGGGGUCUCUCUGGAGAGUGGCUAUAAAUGCUAGCCUUUGUGCUGGGCGGCAAAGCAAAUCAUCGGAAAUAACCCAGGAGCCUGGCAGGGAAACCGCUGCACUAUGGAGAGGACGCUUCCAGAUACAGAGGACAAAUCAAGUGAAGGGACAGAACAGGUCACACCCAGAGCUGCACAGAGGAUCUAUGAAAGAUAAAAUGUGGUGUGAGGACACGGCCCAGCCCCACCGUCGUCUUCCAGCCCCACCGUCGUCUUCUAGCCCCACCAUCGUCAUCUUGGACUCUCUGGGUGGCACCACGCUGUGGGUGCUGCUCUCCUCUGUGUCCCAAACGAGUUUGUGCCUCACUUUGUCGGGUUUUGGCUGUGACUUGGAGCCUCACCAAGCUCCCUUUUCCUCUGUCUCCCAUUCUCCUCUCCAGGCCAGGGUGGCUUCCCCAGCCCUCCUCCCUGGGUCCUGCCUGUGCCGAGCCUUCCUCCCAGGAGGGAGGUGAUACUGACUUGAGAUCUUAUGGGUGUUUUGUGUGUGGCUGGGCCUGGCCGACCCUCUCUCCACGGCCUUAGAUCAUGCUCUGGAUGGAUAGGACAGUCGUCCUCAAUACUGAGCCUCUUUGGAACAUACCCACUGAUGGUGGUUCACAAGCUACCCACGCCCACAGGCUGACCCAGAUCUCCGUGAAAUUAAAAAAUACUGUGAAAGGAAAAA
This 711-nucleotide long non-coding RNA is filed under the name Pan troglodytes (chimpanzee). RNAcentral's name for it is "lincRNA". The record is from RNAcentral. Lineage: Eukaryota; Metazoa; Chordata; Mammalia; Primates; Hominidae.